RNAcentral lists this ribosomal RNA (463 nucleotides) under uncultured bacterium. Its description in RNAcentral is "bacterial SSU rRNA". It matches the Rfam family "Bacterial small subunit ribosomal RNA", at positions 32 to 507 of the family's 1533-position model. The record is from RNAcentral.
AACGCUAGCGGCGAGCUUAACACAUGCAAGUCGAGCGGAGGGUUUCGGCCUCAGCGGCGGACGGUGAGUAACACGUAGGUUACGUGCCCUUUGGUGGGAAUAACUUAGGGAAACCUGAGCUAAUACCGCAUAUGCCCUUCGGGGUGAAAGUCUUCGGACGCCAGAGGAUCGGCCUGCGGCCCAUUAUUUAAUCCUUGUUGGUGGGGUAACGGCCUACCAAGGGUACGAUGGGUAGCUGGUCUGAGAGGAUGAUCAGCCACACUGGGACUGAGACACGGCCCAGACUCCUACGGGAGGCAGCAGUGGGGAAUAUUGGACAAUGGGCGCAAGCCUGAUCCAGCAAUGCCGCGUGUGUGAAGAAGGCCUGCGGGUUGUAAAGCACUUUCAGUGGGGAAGAACAGAUUCGGGUCAAUACCCCGGAGCCCUGACGUUACCCACAGAAGAAGCACCGGCUAACUCCGUG